GCGGCGCUGGGAUAGCGGCGGGGGGUGGCGGGAUUCCUGUGCCCGCUCCUCCCUCCCCUUCCCCCUCCCGCACCGGCACGAGUUGGGGCGGUCGUGCCGAGGGGAAGCAGGUCGCGCGGCACCGCGCUGCUCUUUCGCGAAGUCUCCGAGUGCGGAGCGCUGCCCCGCGCCGUGCCCGCGGGCACAGGGUGCGGCACGCCCCGGGCGCGGUCCCAGCCGCUUCCGCAGCGCUGAGGAGAAGUGCCUGGCGGGGGGCGCUCCGCCCCGCGCUGCGGGGAGCGGCUGUGGUGAGCGGUGUGGUUGUGAGAGAAGAAGGGCGGAGCAGAAGCAAAAAGCAACAGAAAUCCCUUCUGUGGUGACUUCAGAGUGCGGCCGUUGUCCCGCAGUACGGGAUGUCCUUUCUCUUGUAAAUGCUCCGAGCACGCGGCCGUGCCAAUGGCCGUGCCGGGCGAUGGGGGUGCGCGGCACCACGCGCUGCCGUGCGCGGGCACCGCCAUCGUAAGUCGCUCUGAGCGCGGGCGCUGCGGGGCGGCACUACGAGAGAAGAAUUAAACCUGGUUUUGUGCGAGGUUAGAGAUCCCGGCAGCGCCUCUCGCACUGACUUUGUCUUCUGUUCUUGCACAUGUAUAUCUAUUGAAUCUAUCACGGUAAAAAUCGGAUGGCAAAUUUCUGUGUAGCACUAUCCGGAUUUCUUCGGGAAGAGGAAUUCUUGUAGUGCAGGCUUGAUAACAGAUAAUCAAAUUACACGUUGGCAUUCAAGACAUGCUUAAAAUAUCAACCUCUCAGCGGUACGGAGGGUGUUAACAGCCUUGAACUCUGCACCCUCGGAGCGCCUUGUGGCGCUGACUUUGUAACCCGGCGCCUACGGUUACCCCGCCUGCAUCGCCGGUGGUGCCUCUUUAACAAACAAUAGAUCCGGAAAAACGAAUGCACAGACAAAUCCUUAUGGCCUGCACAUCAUCUGCAGCAGCUAGAAAUUACAGAGAGGAGUUGGGGCACGUUUAUGGCCUAAUAACGUGCUUAAUCCCACUUCAUCAUCCUGUUGCACUGACAUCAUACGAACAGCUUUGCAGCAGCUCCUCAGGCUAAUGUUGGAACAGACUUCUCCACAGAGAGUGUGUUGAAUUCAUGUUCUCUGGAUAACAGAAAUUGAGUCUAGAGAAACGGAUCAAGAUGGAAGUCCAGAAAUGGGCAUAGAAACCAACCAGAAGACCAGGUCUGCUCUCAUUCCCACUCUGCUGGAAAGAAAAUUGGUGGUGCAGGUUAAGACAAGAAUGAAGGAACACUGAGAAGCUAAUUAAAAAACCUGCUUUCAAUCAACUGGGAAAUUCACAGCUAAUUAGUUGUAUAUGUCACAGCUUCUCAAGUU
Tympanuchus pallidicinctus (lesser prairie-chicken) is the source of this 1369-nucleotide long non-coding RNA. RefSeq lists it as uncharacterized. The transcript is spliced from 5 exons. The record is from RefSeq and is a predicted model, not a curated record. NCBI's taxonomy places the organism in Eukaryota, Metazoa, Chordata, Aves, Galliformes, Phasianidae.